GCCUUUGUGGUGUAACGGUAGCACACUCAGCCCGUAUUUCAGAGGUCCAAGGUUCGAGUCCCAGCGAGGGCA
This 72-nucleotide transfer RNA is filed under the name Stegodyphus mimosarum. It matches the Rfam family "tRNA". From Rfam's summary of the family: Transfer RNA (tRNA) molecules are approximately 80 nucleotides in length. Their secondary structure includes four short double-helical elements and three loops (D, anti-codon, and T loops). Further hydrogen bonds mediate the characteristic L-shaped molecular structure. tRNAs have two regions of fundamental functional importance: the anti-codon, which is responsible for specific mRNA codon recognition, and the 3' end, to which the tRNAs corresponding amino acid is attached (by aminoacyl-tRNA synthetases). tRNAs cope with the degeneracy of the genetic code in two manners: having more than one tRNA (with a specific anti-codon) for a particular amino acid; and 'wobble' base-pairing, i.e. permitting non-standard base-pairing at the 3rd anti-codon position. The record is from Rfam by way of RNAcentral. Lineage: Eukaryota; Metazoa; Arthropoda; Arachnida; Araneae; Eresidae.